This 213-nucleotide long non-coding RNA is filed under the name Mytilus galloprovincialis (Mediterranean mussel). The record is from RNAcentral. Lineage: Eukaryota; Metazoa; Mollusca; Bivalvia; Mytilida; Mytilidae.
AAACUAUGGAACAGGAAAUUGCAGUUUUUCCGAUAUAGAGUCUAGCAAGGAGCUGUUUAUCAAAUUUGACAGGACUUACAUUUAGUGACUGAUUUCAAGUUGUGCAUAACUUGAGAUUUACAAAUGUUCGUCUUACCAUCCAUGUGUAUUCAAUAUGUUGUGUAUGUAACAGCUUUUUAAUGAUUGUGUACUUGUGUCAGAUAUAAACCGACC